ACGAACGCUGGCGGCGUGGAUUAGGCAUGCAAGUCGGACGGUAGGGCUUUAUCGUAAGAUAGAGUUUGAGAGUGGCGAACGGGUGAGUAACACGUAGGAAUCUACCCUUAAGACGGGGACAACCCAGGGAAACUUGGGCUAAUACCGGAUGAGAGUGCGAGAGAUUGCAUUUAAAAGGAUGGCGAAAGUUGUCGCUUAGGGAUGAGCCUGCGGUCUAUUAGUUAGUUGGUGAGGUAAGAGCUCACCAAGGCGAUGAUAGAUAGGCGGCCUUAACGGGUGGUCGCCCACACUGGGAUUGAGAUACGGCCCAGACUCCUACGGGAGGCAGCAGUCGAGAAUAGUCUACAAUGGCCGGAAGGCUGAUAGUGCGACGCCGCGUGAACGAGGGAGCCCUUCGGGGUGUAAAGUUCUUUUCUAUACGAGCAGUGCUAUAUAUAUGGAUAGUAUAUAUAGAGGGAUAGUAGUAUAGGAAUAAGCAACGGCUAACUCCGUGCCAGCAGCCGCGGUAACACGGGGGUUGCGAGCGUUGUCCGGAAUUACUAGGCGUAAAGGGCAGGUAGGCGGAUCUACGAGUUUUUUGUUAAAGGGCUACGGGCUCAACUGUAGUAGAGCAGGAGAUACUGUAGGUCUGGAAUGCGGUAGGGGAAGACAGAAUUCCUGGUGUAGCGGUGGAAUGCGCAGAGAUCAGGAGGAAUACCGAAGGCGAAGGCAGUCUUCUAGGCCGUAAUUGACGCUUAACUGCGAAGGUGUGGGGAUCAAACAGGAUUAGAUACCCUGGUAGUCCACACAGUAAACGAUAAUCACUAGAUGUCGGGUUCUAGAUGGAUUCGGUGUCGGAGCUAACGCGAUAAGUGAUUCGCCUGGGGAGUACGAUCGCAAGGUUGAAACUCAAAGGAAUUGACGGGGGCCCGCACAGGCGGUGGAGCAUGUGGUUUAAUUCGAGGCAACGCGAAGAACCUUACCCGGUUUUGACAUCCACGGGAGGCUUCAGAGAUGGAGCUGUGCCGGCGUAAGCUGGAGCCGUGAGACAGGUGCUGCAUGGCUGUCGUCAGCUCGUGUCGUGAGAUGUUGGGUUAAGUCCCGCAACGAGCGCAACCCUUGCCUUCAGUUACCAUCAUUAAGUUGGGGACUCUGGAGGGACCGCUGCGGUAACAACGCAGAGGAAGAUGGGGACGACGUCAAGUCAUCAUGGUCCUUAUGGCCGGGGCUACACACGUGCUACAAUGGCAGUUACAGAGGGAUGCGAUUCAGUAAUGAGGAGCGAAACUCAGAAAAGCUGCCGCAGUUCGGAUUGAGGUCUGCAACUCGGCCUCAUGAAGUCGGAAUCGCUAGUAAUCGCGCAACAUCAUGGCGCGGUGAAUACGUUCCCGGGCCU
RNAcentral lists this ribosomal RNA (1375 nucleotides) under uncultured bacterium. RNAcentral's name for it is "bacterial SSU rRNA". It matches the Rfam family "Bacterial small subunit ribosomal RNA", at positions 29 to 1381 of the family's 1533-position model. The record is from RNAcentral.